GAGGGUAUAGCUCAGUGGUAGAGCAUGCACUUAGGGUGCACGAGGGCCUGGGUUCCAUCCCCAGUACCUCCA
RNAcentral lists this transfer RNA (72 nucleotides) under Camelus bactrianus (Bactrian camel). It matches the Rfam family "tRNA". From Rfam's summary of the family: Transfer RNA (tRNA) molecules are approximately 80 nucleotides in length. Their secondary structure includes four short double-helical elements and three loops (D, anti-codon, and T loops). Lineage: Eukaryota; Metazoa; Chordata; Mammalia; Artiodactyla; Camelidae. RNAcentral also lists the same sequence under 2 other names. The record is from Rfam by way of RNAcentral.